Molecule: ribosomal RNA, 433 nt
Filed under: uncultured bacterium
Lineage: Bacteria
Description: partial 16S ribosomal RNA
Rfam family: Bacterial small subunit ribosomal RNA
Source: RNAcentral
AACGAACGCUGGCGGCAUGCCUAACACAUGCAAGUCGAACGAGACCUUCGGGUCUAGUGGCGCACGGGUGCGUAACGCGUGGGAACCUGCCCUUAGGUUCGGAAUAACUCCCCGAAAGGGGUGCUAAUACCGGAUAAUGUCUUCGGACCAAAGAUUUAUCGCCUUUGGAUGGGCCCGCGUUGGAUUAGCUAGUUGGUAGGGUAAAAGCCUACCAAGGCGACGAUCCAUAGCUGGUCUGAGAGGAUGAUCAGCCACACUGGGACUGAGACACGGCCCAGACUCCUACGGGAGGGAGCAGUGGGGAAUAUUGGACAAUGGGCGAAAGCCUAAUCCAUCAGUGCCGCGUGAGUGAUGAAGGCCUUAGGGUUGUAAAGCUCUUUUACCCGGGAUGAUAAUGACAGUACCGGGAGAAUAAGCUCCGGCUAACUCCGUG